CGACGCGCAAAACUCGCGCAAGGAAACGCGAUUUUUUGCAUUUUCCCCGUCGCGAUCCGGAAGAGGACGGCAUGAAGCACCUUAAGUCCAUCACUGCUCCUGGAAUCUGUUCCAGACUCCCAGUAUCUUGCUUGCUUUUGUUGAACAGCUUUUGAAACAUCAACAAAAUAACCAUGAAGGCCAAUGGGCUUCUCUCAUCUGUCCUUUUAUGCAUUCUCCUAGCUGCUGCAGGGCUCGGUGAUGUAACAAGCACUGCUUGGUGUCAGAUAUAUUCAGGUCAUUGCAAUCCAGUAUCUUCAUGCUAUCCACCUUACAUUUACAUUGGCAAAUGCGACAAUCAUUGGUGGUGUUGCACAAAACCAGCAAUAGCUUAACCACACCUUGAACCACAAUUGUGUUUUAAAAUGCAUUGAUGAAGUUCUUCUUCACUUCACCUCCAAAGAAUAUCCUGUGCUGAAACUAGUUGGUCUUUAAGGUGCUGUUGGACUCGGAUCUUGCUCUUCAACUGCAGACCAACACAGCUACCCACCUGAAACCACCCUGCUG
Eublepharis macularius is the source of this 546-nucleotide long non-coding RNA. RefSeq lists it as uncharacterized. The transcript is spliced from 4 exons. The record is from RefSeq and is a predicted model, not a curated record. Lineage: Eukaryota; Metazoa; Chordata; Lepidosauria; Squamata; Eublepharidae.